AAAUACUCCCGAGAGACCGAUAGCGAACCAGUACCGUGAGGGAAAGGUGAAAAGAACCCCGAGCAGGGGAGUGAAAUAGACCCUGAACCCGUCUGCCUACAAGCGGUCGGAGCGUCGUAAUGACGUGACGGCGUGCCUUUUGCAUAAUGAACCUACGAGUUACCUUCCCCGGCAAGGUUAAGUUCUUGAGGAACGGAGCCGAAGCGAAAGCGAGUCUGAACAGGGCGCCAAGUCGGGGGGGGUAGACGCGAAACCGAGUGAUCUACCCUUGGCCAGGUUGAAGGUUGGGUAACACCAACUGGAGGACCGGAUGGGUAAGCGUUGAAAAGCUUUCCAAUGAGCUGAGGGUAGGGGUGAAAGGCUAAUCAAACUCGGAGAUAGCUCGUACUCCCCGAAAUGCAUUUAGGUGCAGCCUCUUUAUAGUAUAUCGUGAGGUAGAGCGACUGAUUGGAUGCGAGGGCUUCACCGCCUAUCAAGUCCAGAUAAACUCCGAAUGCGCGAUAUAUAUUUACAGGGAGUGAGGGCGCGGGUGCUAAGGUCCGUGUCCGAGAGGAGAAGAAUCCAGACCACCGGCUAAGGCCCCCAAAUGAUCGUUAAGUUGAACUAACGAGGUCGGAUCGCAGAGACAGCUAGGAUGUUGGCUUGGAAGCAGCCAUUCAUUUAAAGAGUGCGUAACAGCUCACUAGUCGAGCGAUCUGGCGUGGAUAAUAAUCGGGCAUAAACGAUCUGCCGAAGCCGUGGAUGUCGCAAGACAUGGUAGGGGAGCAUUCCAUGCCGCGUCGAAGAUGAGGGAUGACCCUUGUUGGAGCGCAUGGAAAAGCAAAUGUAGGUAUGAGUAACGAUAAGGGGGGCGAGAAACCCCCCCGCCGAAAGACCAAGGUUUCCUGAUCAACGCUAAUCGGAUCAGGGUGAGUCGGGACCUAAGGCAAAGCCGAACGGCGCCGCCGAUGGAAGAAUGGGUUAAUAUUCCCAUACUGCCUCAUGGAGUGACGUGGAGACGGAGAAGUGACAGUCCUGCCGGCUGACGGAAUAGCCGGUUGAAGGGUGUAGAUAUUGAUUCCCGUAGGCAAAUCCGCGGGGAGAGUCGAACCUGAGAGUAUACGGAGCGCUUGCGCAACGUAAUAUGGACGUAACCAUGCUCCCGAGAAAAUCCGCUAAACUUAUCCAUGCGGCACCCGUACCGUAAACGGACACACGUGGUCGGGUUGAGAAUACUGAGGCGCUCGAGUGAUUCACGGUUAAGGAACUAGGCAAAUUGACCCUGUAACUUCGGGAUAAAGGGUCCCUGCUGAGAGGUAGGGCGCAGAGAAUAGGUCCAGGCAACUGUUUAACAAAAACACAGGGCUGUGCAAAAUUGAAAGAUGAAGUAUACAGCCUGACACCUGCCCGGUGCUGGAAGGUUAAGAGGAGAUGUCAUCGCAAGAGAAGCAUUGAAUUGAAGCCCCAGUAAACGGCGGCCGUAACUAUAACGGUCCUAAGGUAGCGAAAUUCCUUGUCGGGUAAGUUCCGACCUGCACGAAUGGUGUAAUGAUCCGGACGCUGUCUCAACCGUGAGCUCAGUGAAAUUGUAGUAUCGGUGAAGAUGCCGAUUACCCGCGAUGGGACGAAAAGACCCCGUGAACCUUUACUAUAGCUUUACAUUGAGUUUGGGCAGACGAUGUGUAGGAUAGGCCGGAGGCAUUGAAGCAGGUACGCCAGUAUUUGUGGAGCCGACGUUGAAAUACGGCCCUUCGGUUGUUUGAGUUCUAACUCCUAGUUAGGAGGACACUGUAUGGUGGGUAGUUUGACUGGGGUGGUCGCCUCCAAAAGCGUAACGGAGGCUUCUA
This 1826-nucleotide ribosomal RNA is filed under the name human gut metagenome. RNAcentral describes it as "bacterial LSU rRNA". It matches the Rfam family "Bacterial large subunit ribosomal RNA", at positions 468 to 2312 of the family's 2925-position model. The record is from RNAcentral.